AACCUGCGCGGGGUUAAGGA
RNAcentral lists this ribosomal RNA (20 nucleotides) under Alternariaster helianthi. RNAcentral's name for it is "partial 18S ribosomal RNA". Lineage: Eukaryota; Fungi; Ascomycota; Dothideomycetes; Pleosporales; Leptosphaeriaceae. The record is from RNAcentral.